AUGAACGCUAGCGACAGGCCUAACACAUGCAAGUCAGGGGCAGCACAAGGAGCAAUCUGAGGUGGCGACCGGCGCACGGGUGAGUAACACGUAUGCAACCUGCCUGUAAGCGGGGAAUAACCUGUUGAAAGACGGACUAAUACCGCAUAAUACUAAAUUACUGCAUGGUAAUUUAUUUAAACAUUUAUGGCUUACAGAUGGGCAUGCGCAUGAUUAGCUAGUUGGAGAGGUAACGGCUCCCCAAGGCAACGAUCAUUAGGGGUUCUGAGAGGAAGGUCCCCCACACUGGUACUGAGACACGGACCAGACUCCUACGGGAGGCAGCAGUGAGGAAUAUUGGUCAAUGGACGAGAGUCUGAACCAGCCAAGUCGCGUGCAGGAAGAAUGUCCCUAUGGAUUGUAAACUGCUUUUGCAGGGGAAUAAAGUGCAUCACGUGUGAUGUUUUGUAUGUACUCUGCGAAUAAGGAUCGGCUAACUCCGUGCCAGCCGCCGC
RNAcentral lists this ribosomal RNA (494 nucleotides) under uncultured bacterium. RNAcentral's name for it is "bacterial SSU rRNA". It matches the Rfam family "Bacterial small subunit ribosomal RNA", at positions 29 to 518 of the family's 1533-position model. The record is from RNAcentral.